RNAcentral lists this ribosomal RNA (2101 nucleotides) under Klebsiella pneumoniae. RNAcentral describes it as "partial 23S ribosomal RNA". It matches the Rfam family "Bacterial large subunit ribosomal RNA", at positions 718 to 2801 of the family's 2925-position model. The record is from RNAcentral. Lineage: Bacteria; Pseudomonadati; Pseudomonadota; Gammaproteobacteria; Enterobacterales; Enterobacteriaceae.
AAACCCGGUGAUCUAGCCAUGGGCAGGUUGAAGGUUGGGUAACACUAACUGGAGGACCGAACCGACUAAUGUUGAAAAAUUAGCGGAUGACUUGUGGCUGGGGGUGAAAGGCCAAUCAAACCGGGAGAUAGCUGGUUCUCCCCGAAAGCUAUUUAGGUAGCGCCUCGUGAACUCAUCUUCGGGGGUAGAGCACUGUUUCGGCUAGGGGGUCAUCCCGACUUACCAACCCGAUGCAAACUACGAAUACCGAAGAAUGUUAUCACGGGAGACACACGGCGGGUGCUAACGUCCGUCGUGAAGAGGGAAACAACCCAGACCGCCAGCUAAGGUCCCAAAGUCAUGGUUAAGUGGGAAACGAUGUGGGAAGGCACAGACAGCCAGGAUGUUGGCUUAGAAGCAGCCAUCAUUUAAAGAAAGCGUAAUAGCUCACUGGUCGAGUCGGCCUGCGCGGAAGAUGUAACGGGGCUAAACCAUGCACCGAAGCUGCGGCAGCGACACUAUGUGUUGUUGGGUAGGGGAGCGUUCUGUAAGCCUGCGAAGGUGUGCUGUGAGGCAUGCUGGAGGUAUCAGAAGUGCGAAUGCUGACAUAAGUAACGAUAAAGCGGGUGAAAAGCCCGCUCGCCGGAAGACCAAGGGUUCCUGUCCAACGUUAAUCGGGGCAGGGUGAGUCGACCCCUAAGGCGAGGCCGAAAGGCGUAGUCGAUGGGAAACAGGUUAAUAUUCCUGUACUUGGUGUUACUGCGAAGGGGGGACGGAGAAGGCUAUGUUAGCCGGGCGACGGUUGUCCCGGUUUAAGCAUGUAGGCUGGUUAUCCAGGCAAAUCCGGAUAAUCAAGGCUGAGGUGUGAUGACGAGGCACUACGGUGCUGAAGUAACAAAUGCCCUGCUUCCAGGAAAAGCCUCUAAGCAUCAGGUAACAUCAAAUCGUACCCCAAACCGACACAGGUGGUCAGGUAGAGAAUACCAAGGCGCUUGAGAGAACUCGGGUGAAGGAACUAGGCAAAAUGGUGCCGUAACUUCGGGAGAAGGCACGCUGGUGUGUAGGUGAAGUCCCUGCGGAUGGAGCUGAGACCAGUCGAAGAUACCAGCUGGCUGCAACUGUUUAUUAAAAACACAGCACUGUGCAAACACGAAAGUGGACGUAUACGGUGUGACGCCUGCCCGGUGCCGGAAGGUUAAUUGAUGGGGUUAUCCGUAAGGAGAAGCUCUUGAUCGAAGCCCCGGUAAACGGCGGCCGUAACUAUAACGGUCCUAAGGUAGCGAAAUUCCUUGUCGGGUAAGUUCCGACCUGCACGAAUGGCGUAAUGAUGGCCAGGCUGUCUCCACCCGAGACUCAGUGAAAUUGAACUCGCUGUGAAGAUGCAGUGUACCCGCGGCAAGACGGAAAGACCCCGUGAACCUUUACUAUAGCUUGACACUGAACAUUGAGCCUUGAUGUGUAGGAUAGGUGGGAGGCUUUGAAGCGUGGACGCCAGUCUGCGUGGAGCCAACCUUGAAAUACCACCCUUUAAUGUUUGAUGUUCUAACGUUGGCCCCUGACCGGGGUUGCGGACAGUGUCUGGUGGGUAGUUUGACUGGGGCGGUCUCCUCCCAAAGCGUAACGGAGGAGCACGAAGGUUAGCUAAUCCUGGUCGGACAUCAGGAGGUUAGUGCAAUGGCAUAAGCUAGCUUGACUGCGAGCGUGACGGCGCGAGCAGGUGCGAAAGCAGGUCAUAGUGAUCCGGUGGUUCUGAAUGGAAGGGCCAUCGCUCAACGGAUAAAAGGUACUCCGGGGAUAACAGGCUGAUACCGCCCAAGAGUUCAUAUCGACGGCGGUGUUUGGCACCUCGAUGUCGGCUCAUCACAUCCUGGGGCUGAAGUAGGUCCCAAGGGUAUGGCUGUUCGCCAUUUAAAGUGGUACGCGAGCUGGGUUUAGAACGUCGUGAGACAGUUCGGUCCCUAUCUGCCGUGGGCGCUGGAGAAUUGAGGGGGGCUGCUCCUAGUACGAGAGGACCGGAGUGGACGCAUCACUGGUGUUCGGGUUGUCAUGCCAAUGGCACUGCCCGGUAGCUAAAUGCGGAAGAGAUAAGUGCUGAAAGCAUCUAAGCACGAAACUUGCCCCG